GAUGAACGCUGGCGGCGUGCCUAAUACAUGCAAGUCGAGCGAACAGACGAGGAGCUUGCUCCUCUGACGUUAGCGGCGGACGGGUGAGUAACACGUGGAUAACCUACCUAUAAGACUGGGAUGACUUCGGGAAACCGGAGCUACUACCAGAUCAUAUAUUGAACCGCAUGGUUCAAUAGUGAAAGACGGCUUUGCUGUCACUUAUAGAUGGAUCCGCGUCGCAUUAGCUAGUUGGUAAGGUAACGGCUUACCAAGGCAACGAUGCGUAGCCGACCUGAGAGGGUGAUCGGCCACACUGGAACUGAGACACGGUCCAGACUCCUACGGGAGGCAGCAGUAGGGAAUAUUCCGCAAUGGGCGAAAGCCUGACGGAGCAACGCCGCGUGAGUGAUGAAGGUCUUCGGAUCGUAAAACUCUGUUAUUAGGGAAGAACAAAUGUGUAAGUAACUAUGCACGUCUUGACGGUACCUAAUCAGAAAGCCACGGCUAACUACGUG
Molecule: ribosomal RNA, 497 nt
Filed under: uncultured bacterium
Lineage: Bacteria
Description: partial 16S ribosomal RNA
Rfam family: Bacterial small subunit ribosomal RNA
Source: RNAcentral